GGAAAUUUUGAGAAACCAAAAUUUUUUUUUCUGUUCUCUUUCUGCAUCCGCCCCAGUACCUUCACUUUCUUUCAUGUCCAAUUAGGGUUUUGCUCCUCUCCCAUUCUCCGCCAAAUUAUCCAAUUAAUCGAUCAAUAACUCGAUCAAAAGCUUCUAAUGGGCAGUAACAAGCGGAGACAACUCGACGACCACCGUCUAGAUGCCAACAAGAAACACCAGCAGUCACCUUCCUCCUCCUCUGCAACAACACCCAACACUCAAUCCUCGUCUAAUCCCAGCACUAAACGCCCAACCUUCCCUUCCUAUCUAGACAUCCCUAAUCUCCCUCCCAAAAUUAAGCUCCUCUGCGAAAUCAUCGCUAACACCCCUUCUUCCUCCGUCGAAGCCGUUUUUGGCAACGCCGGCGUCCAUGUCUCCCAGUCCGACGUCGAGCAAGUCCUCAAGCUUUCUUACUCAUUCCCUGGCCCCGCCGUCAAGUUCUUCCGCUGGGCCGGUUUUCAGCUCCAAGAUAAUCACAGCCCUUACUCUUGGAAUCUCAUUGUGGACAUUUUAGGUAAGAAUUCUUUGUUUGAUGCUAUGUGGGAUGCUAUUAAGUCUAUGAGACGAGAAGGGUUGGUUUCUUUAGCAACGUUUGCUUCUGUAUUUGAUAGUUAUGUUAUUGCUGGUAGAGUUAAAGAAGCUAUUAUGACCUUUGAGGUUAUGGAUCAAUAUGGUUGUCCCCGAGAUGUUGUUGCCUUGAAUUCCUUAUUGAGUGCUAUUUGUAGAGAUGGGAAGAAUGUUGAUGCUGUUGAGUUUUUGCAUGUGGCCAGUAAUGUCAUUAAGCCUGAUGCUGAUACUUAUGCCAUUCUUUUGGAGGGGUGGGAAAAGGAAAUGAAUGUGCUUAGUGCUAGACAAACUUUCAUGGAGAUGAUUAGAGAUAUUGGUUGGGAUCCUGUUAAUGUUCCAGCAUAUGAUACGUUUUUGUGUACUUUGCUAAUGGACCGUGAUGGGUUGGAUGAGGCCAUUGGGUUUUUGCAGACAAUGAAGGAUAGGGAGUGUUGUCCAGGAAUGAGAUUUUUUAGAGCAGCACUCAAGGAGUGCUCGAAGUUAAUUGAUGUUAGAAGAGCUGGGUUAAUUUGGGAGGUAAUGGUGGAGAGAAAUAGGCUUAUGCCCGAUACCGAGCUGUAUAAUUUGAUGAUUACUUUACAUUGUUAUGCUAGCAAUACUGAUGUGGCACAAAGGUUUUUGGAUGAGAUGGUUUAUAAUGGGGCCUUUCCUGAUAGUCUAACCUAUAAUUUGAUGUUCCAGUUCUUGAUUAAGAGUAGGAAGUUGAAGGAUGCUUCAGUGCUGUUCAAUGAAAUGAUGAAAAAUGAGUUCAUUCCUAAUCAAGCAAAUUGCAGUGCGGCUGUUAGGGUAUAUAUAAAUUCAGAGGACCCUUAUAUGGCUAUCAAAAUCUGGAAAUGCAUGAUAGAGAAUUACAAAACAGACUUGGAGGAGACGGGAAAUUUGUUGGUUGCUGGGCUGUGGGAUCUCCGCAUGGAUCCUGAAGCAGUAAAAUAUGCUGAAGGUAUGAUCGAAAAGGGAAUCAAGCUCAGUUCUUCAUCAUUGGCAAAAUUGAAACAGAGCCUUACUCGAGCAAGAAAGGAUUUUGUGUACGAGGCACUUCUAGGAAAGUGGAAUGCACAUUCGAUAGUUUAGGUCUUAGUGUAUCUAAAGAAUACAACAGUGCUUUAGCUCACUGCUGGAUGUUAAAGAUACUGUGUACAGUUUAUGUAUUCUUUUGUUGGGGAAAAAUGAUUUUUUUUUUUUUUGGCAAGAGCCCAUCAUUGCUCUUAUAAUGUAACACCUAAUGCAAAUGGCGCGAAACAUUACAAUGAGGUAGAGCUUUAGACGGAUUGUUUGUUGGGUAGAAGGCAAGGUGAAAAAAACAAUCAGCAAAAUAGCAUCAUGGUACAAGUCUUCAAGACUAGAUAGAAGUCAAGGAGAUGAUAAGAAAUAGGCAAAGAUAGAAAGUGAGGGAGAAGAUCCUCUAAUGUUAUGGAAAAAGAAAAUGGGAUAAAAUAAGAAAGCAGUCAAGCCCAGUGACUCAAUUUAAUCCUCACUAUUAAGAAGCUAACAAACUCAACUACAGCAAGAUAUGUAAAACAAAUCCUACAAAUAUGAAACUUCCUCAACUUAAAAAUGUCCACAAGAUAUGGGCUUUAGAGGCUAAUGUUGCAAAGCAUAAGAUACAAAUAGUAAA
RNAcentral lists this unclassified non-coding RNA (2221 nucleotides) under Hevea brasiliensis (rubber tree). The record is from RNAcentral. Lineage: Eukaryota; Viridiplantae; Streptophyta; Magnoliopsida; Malpighiales; Euphorbiaceae.